GACGAACGCUGGCGGCGUGCUUAACACAUGCAAGUCGAACGGGCCCGCUCUCUUUUUUGGGGGUGGGUUGAGUGGCGAACGGGUGAGUAUCACGUGAGUAACCUGCCCCCUGCUCCUGGAUAACUGCUUGAAAGGGCGGCUAAUACGGGGUGUGCCGGCUGGUCCGCAUGGGCCUGGUCGGGAUAGUUUCAUCUUCGGGUGUUUCGGGGGGGGAUGGGCUCGCGGCCUAUCAGCUUGUUGGUGGGGUGAUGGCCCACCAAGGCGGUGACGGGUAGCCGGCCUGGGAGGGUGGGCGGCCACACUGGGACUGAGACACGGCCCAGACUCCUGCGGGAGGCAGCAGUGGGGGGUAUUGCACAAUGGACGGAAGCCUGAUGCAGCGACGUCGCGUGAGGGAUGGAGGCCUUCGGGUUGUGAACCUCUUUCUCCGGUGGUGAAGGCCCUGUCCGUUGCGGCGGGGUUGACGGUAGCCGGGUAUGAAGCGCCGGCUAACUACGUG
This 499-nucleotide ribosomal RNA is filed under the name uncultured bacterium. RNAcentral's name for it is "partial 16S ribosomal RNA". It matches the Rfam family "Bacterial small subunit ribosomal RNA", at positions 28 to 507 of the family's 1533-position model. The record is from RNAcentral.